UGAAUACGAGACGCUAAGGCGUCGAAGUAGUGUAUGUCAUACUUCCAAGAAAAGCUUGCACUGUCAUAGAUAAAAAACGCCUGUACCAUAACCGACACAGGUGGGUAGGUAGAGUAUACUAAGGGGCGCGAGAUAACUCUCUCUAAGGAACUCGGCAAAAUAACUCCGUAACUUCGGGAGAAGGAGUGCCUUAUUUAUAAGGCUGCAAUAACAAGAUCCAAGCAACUGUUUAUCAAAAACACAGGUCUCCGCUAAGUCGUAAGACGAUGUAUGGGGGCUGACGCCUGCCCAGUGCCAGAAGGUUAAAGAAGUUGGUUAGCUUUUGCGAAGCUGAUAACUGAAGCCCUGGUGAACGGCGGCCGUAACAAUAACGGUCCUAAGGUAGCGAAAUUCCUUGUCGGGUAAGUUCCGACCCGCACGAAAGGCGUAAUGAUUUGGAUACUGUCUCGGAGAGGGGCUCGGUGAAAUAGACUUGUCUGUGAAGAUGCGGACUACCUGCACCAGGACAGAAAGACCCUAUGAAGCUUUACUGUAACUUGAAAUUGAAAUUGGACUUUAUUCGCGCAGCAUAGGUGGGAGGCGUUGAUUAUAAUCUCGUGGGAUUAUUGGAGCCAUCAGUGAGAUACCACUCUUGUAAUGUUAGAUUUCUAACUUUGAAUCAUUAUCUGGUCAAAGAACAGUUUCAGGCGGGCAGUUUGACUGGGGCGGUCGCCUCCUAAACGGUAACGGAGGCGUACAAAGGUUUCCUCUGAACGGUUAGAAAUCGUAUCUAGAGUGUAAAGGCAUAAGGAAGCUUGACUGUGAGACCUACUAGUCGAGCAGGGACGAAAGUCGGUCUUAGUGAUCUGACGGUACUGAGUGGAAAGGCCGUCACUCAACGGAUAAAAGUUACUCUAGGAUAACAGGCUGAUCUCCCCCAAGAGUUCACAUCGACGGGGAGGUUUGGCACCUCGAUGUCGGCUCAUCGCAUCCUGGGGCGGUAGUACGUACCAAGGGUUGGGCUGUUCGCCCAUGAAAGCGGUACGCGAGCUGGGUUCAGAACGUCGUGAGACAGUUCGGUCCAUAUCCGGUGUAGGCGUUAGAAUAUUGAGAGGAGCCUUCUUUAGUACGAGAGGACCGAGAAGGACAUACCUCUGGUGUACCAGUUAUCGUGCCAACGGUAAACGCUGGGUAGCUAUGUAUGGAGUGGAUAACCGCUGAAAGCAUCUAAGUGGGAAGCCCACCUCAAGAUAAGUAUUCUCAUC
Molecule: ribosomal RNA, 1244 nt
Filed under: metagenome
Description: bacterial LSU rRNA
Rfam family: Bacterial large subunit ribosomal RNA
Source: RNAcentral